RNAcentral lists this ribosomal RNA (467 nucleotides) under uncultured bacterium. RNAcentral describes it as "SSU rRNA". It matches the Rfam family "Bacterial small subunit ribosomal RNA", at positions 26 to 518 of the family's 1533-position model. The record is from RNAcentral.
AGAACGAACGCUGGCGGCAUGCCUAACACAUGCAAGUCGAACGCUCUUGGGAUUUCGGUCUCAAGGGAGUGGCGCACGGGUGAGUAGCGCGUGGGAACCUGCCCUGUUGUGGGGGAUAACCGAGGGAACUUCGGCUAAUACCGCAUGCGCCCCCGGGAGUGAUCCUGGGGGGAAAGAUUUAUCGCAGCAGGAGGGGCCCGCGUCGGAUUAGGUAGUUGGUGGGGUAACGGCCCACCAAGCCUGUGAUCCGUAGCUGGUCUGAGAGGAUGAUCAGCCACACUGGGACUGAGACACGGCCCAGACUCCUACGGGAGGCAGCAGUGGGGGAAUAUUGGACAAUGGGCGCAAGCCUGAUCCAGCAAUGCCGCGUGAGUGAUGAAGGCCUUAGGGUUGUAAAGCUCUUUCGCCCGCGACGAUGAUGACGGUAGCGGGAGAAGAAGCCCGGCUAACUUCGUGCCAGCAGCCGC